RNAcentral lists this small RNA (125 nucleotides) under Marmota monax (woodchuck). The record is from RNAcentral. Lineage: Eukaryota; Metazoa; Chordata; Mammalia; Rodentia; Sciuridae.
GCUGGGCAUGGUGGCACACACCUGUAAUCCCAGUGGCUCAGGAGGCUGAGGCAGGAGGAUCUCGAGUUCAAAGCCAGCCUUAGCAAAAGCGAGAUGCUAAGCAACUCAGUGAGACCCUGUCUCUA